UACGGAGGGUGCAAACGUUGCUCGGAAUCAUUGGGCGUAAAGCGCACGUAGGCGGCUCCUCAAGUCGGAUGUGAAAGCCCUGGGCUCAACUCAGGAAGUGCAUCCGAAACUGUGGAGCUUGAAUGCCGGAGGGGCCCAGAGAAUUCCCGGUGUAGAGGUGAAAUUCGUAGAUAUCGGGAGGAAUACCAGUGGCGAAGGCGCUGGGCUGGACGGUCAUUGACGCUGAGGUGCGAAAGCGUGGGGAGCAAACAGG
This 253-nucleotide ribosomal RNA is filed under the name Nannocystaceae bacterium. RNAcentral's name for it is "partial 16S ribosomal RNA". It matches the Rfam family "Bacterial small subunit ribosomal RNA", at positions 524 to 776 of the family's 1533-position model. The record is from RNAcentral. Lineage: Bacteria; Pseudomonadati; Myxococcota; Nannocystales; Nannocystaceae. RNAcentral also lists the same sequence under 2 other names.